UUCGGUGCUCCUCUGUGGCAUAAAGCCAU
Molecule: small RNA, 29 nt
Filed under: Bombyx mori (domestic silkworm)
Lineage: Eukaryota; Metazoa; Arthropoda; Insecta; Lepidoptera; Bombycidae
Description: ovarian small RNA-37424
Source: RNAcentral